RNAcentral lists this ribosomal RNA (441 nucleotides) under uncultured bacterium. RNAcentral describes it as "partial 16S ribosomal RNA". It matches the Rfam family "Bacterial small subunit ribosomal RNA", at positions 338 to 795 of the family's 1533-position model. The record is from RNAcentral.
CCUACGGGUGGCAGCAGUGGGGAAUAUUGCACAAUGGGGGGAACCCUGAUGCAGCAACGCCGCGUGGGUGAAGGAGGAUUUCGGAAUGUAAAGCCCUAUCAGUAGGGAAGAACAAUGACGGUACCUGACUAAGAAGCACCGGCUAACUACGUGCCAGCAGCCGCGGUAAUACGUAGGUGGCAAGCGUUAUCCGGAGUUACUGGGUGUAAAGGGAGCGCAGGCGGCGCGUUAAGCCAGGUGUGAAAACCCCGGGCUGAACAUCGGGACUGCAUUUGAAACUGGCUCGCUGGAGUGCAGUAGGGGUAGGCGGAAUUCCUAGUGUAGCGGUGAAAUGCGUAGAUAUUAGGAGGAACACCAGUGGCGAAGGCGGCCUACUGGACGUUAACUGACGCUGAGGCUCGAAAGCGUGGGGAGCAAACAGGAUUAGAUACCCUAGUAGUC